This 465-nucleotide ribosomal RNA is filed under the name uncultured Klebsiella sp. RNAcentral describes it as "bacterial SSU rRNA". It matches the Rfam family "Bacterial small subunit ribosomal RNA", at positions 338 to 795 of the family's 1533-position model. The record is from RNAcentral. Lineage: Bacteria; Pseudomonadati; Pseudomonadota; Gammaproteobacteria; Enterobacterales; Enterobacteriaceae.
CCUACGGGUGGCAGCAGUGGGGAAUAUUGCACAAUGGGCGCAAGCCUGAUGCAGCCAUGCCGCGUGUGUGAAGAAGGCCUUCGGGUUGUAAAGCACUUUCAGCGGGGAGGAAGGCGGUGAGGUUAAUAACCUCAUCGAUUGACGUUACCCGCAGAAGAAGCACCGGCUAACUCCGUGCCAGCAGCCGCGGUAAUACGGAGGGUGCAAGCGUUAAUCGGAAUUACUGGGCGUAAAGCGCACGCAGGCGGUCUGUCAAGUCGGAUGUGAAAUCCCCGGGCUCAACCUGGGAACUGCAUUCGAAACUGGCAGGCUAGAGUCUUGUAGAGGGGGGUAGAAUUCCAGGUGUAGCGAUGAAAUGCGUAGAGAUCUGGAGGAAUACCGGUGGCGAAGGCGGCCCCCUGGACAAAGACUGACGCUCAGGUGCGAAAGCGUGGGGAGCAAACAGGAUUAGAUAACCGGGUAGUC